GACGAACGCUGGCGGCGUGCUUAACACAUGCCAGUCGAACGGAAAGGCCCUGCUUGCAGGGUACUCGAGUGGCGAACGGGUGAGUAACACGUGGGUGAUCUGCCCUGCACUUCGGGAUAAGCCUGGGAAACUGGGUCUAAUACCGGAUAGGAGCCAUUUUUAGUGUGAUGGUUGGAAAGUUUUUUCGGUGUAGGAUGAGCUCGCGGCCUAUCAGCUUGUUGGUGGGGUAAUGGCCUACCAAGGCGGCGACGGGUAGCCGGCCUGUGAGGGUGGACGGCCACAUUGAGACUGAGAUGCGGCCCAGACGCCUACGGGAGGCAGAAGUGGGGAAUAUUGCACAAGGGGCGCAAGCCUGAUGCAGCGACGCCGCGGGGGGGAUGACGGCCUUCGGGUUGUAAACUCCUUUCGCUAGGGACGAAGCUUUUUGUGACGGUACCUAGAUAAGAAGCACCGGCUAACUACGUG
RNAcentral lists this ribosomal RNA (465 nucleotides) under uncultured bacterium. RNAcentral describes it as "partial 16S ribosomal RNA". It matches the Rfam family "Bacterial small subunit ribosomal RNA", at positions 28 to 507 of the family's 1533-position model. The record is from RNAcentral.